AUACGUAGGGGGCAAGCGUUAUCCGGAUUUACUGGGUGUAAAGGGAGCGUAGACGGUUUGGCAAGUCAGAAGUGAAAUUCCUGAGCUCAACUCGGGCGCUGCUUCUGAAACUGCUUUACUUGAGUGCUGGAGAGGAUAGUGGAAUUCCUAGUGUAGCGGUAAAAUGCGCAGAUAUUAGGAGGAACACCGGUGGCGAAGGCGGCUAUCUGGACAGUAACUGACGCUGAGGCGCGAAAGCACGGGGAGCAAACAGGAUUAGAUACCCUGGUAGUCCGUGCCGUAAACGAUGAAUACUAGGUGUAGGGGGUAUCGACUCCCUCUGUGCCGCAGUUAACACAUUAAGUAUUCCGCCUGGGGAGUACGGCCGCAAGGUUGAAACUCAAAGGAAUUGACGGGG
Molecule: ribosomal RNA, 397 nt
Filed under: uncultured bacterium
Lineage: Bacteria
Description: partial 16S ribosomal RNA
Rfam family: Bacterial small subunit ribosomal RNA
Source: RNAcentral